Molecule: ribosomal RNA, 467 nt
Filed under: uncultured bacterium
Lineage: Bacteria
Description: partial 16S ribosomal RNA
Rfam family: Bacterial small subunit ribosomal RNA
Source: RNAcentral
GACGAACGCUGGCGGCGUGCUUAACACAUGCAAGUCGAACGGAAAGGCUCCAGCUUGCUGGAGUACUCGAGUGGCGAACGGGCGAGUAACACGUGGGUAAUCUGCCCUGCACUCUGGGAUAAGCCUGGGAAACUGGGUCUAAUACUGGAUAUGACCUUUCUCCUUAUGGGGUUUGGUGGAAAGUUUUUCGGUGUAGGAUGAGCCCGCGGCCUAUCAGCUUGUUGGUGGGGUGAUGGCCUACCAAGGCGACGACGGGUAGCCGGCCUGAGAGGGUGAUCGGCCACAUUGGGACUGAGAUACGGCCCAGACUCCUACGGGAGGCAGCAGUGGGGAAUAUUGCACAAUGGGCGGAAGCCUGAUGCAGCGACGCCGCGUGAGGGAUGACGGCCUUCGGGUUGUAAACCUCUUUCAGCAGGGACGAAGCGUAAGUGACGGUACCUGCAGAAGAAGCACCGGCUAACUAUGUG